GUGCCAGCAGCCGCGGUAAUACAGAGGCCCCAAACGUUGCGCGGAAUCACUGGGCUUAAAGGGUGCGUAGGCGGGCCCGCAAGUGCUUUGUGAAAUCCCACGGCUUAACCGUGGAAUUGCUCGGCAUACUGCGGGUCUUGAGGUCGGCAGAGGUUGCUGGAACUCUAGGUGUAGCGGUGAAAUGCGUAGAUAUCUAGAGGAACGCCCAAGGUGAAGACAGGCAACUGGGCCGAUUCUGACGCUGAGGCACGAAAGCGUGGGUAGCGAACGGGAUUAGAUACCCUCGUAGUCC
This 292-nucleotide ribosomal RNA is filed under the name uncultured bacterium. RNAcentral describes it as "partial 16S ribosomal RNA". It matches the Rfam family "Bacterial small subunit ribosomal RNA", at positions 505 to 796 of the family's 1533-position model. The record is from RNAcentral.